RNAcentral lists this ribosomal RNA (1769 nucleotides) under Salmonella enterica subsp. enterica serovar Stanley. Its description in RNAcentral is "partial 23S ribosomal RNA". It matches the Rfam family "Bacterial large subunit ribosomal RNA", at positions 404 to 2157 of the family's 2925-position model. The record is from RNAcentral. Lineage: Bacteria; Pseudomonadati; Pseudomonadota; Gammaproteobacteria; Enterobacterales; Enterobacteriaceae.
CUCGAUGAGUAGGGCGGGACACGUGGUAUCCUGUCUGAAUAUGGGGGGACCAUCCUCCAAGGCUAAAUACUCCUGACUGACCGAUAGUGAACCAGUACCGUGAGGGAAAGGCGAAAAGAACCCCGGCGAGGGGAGUGAAAAAGAACCUGAAACCGUGUACGUACAAGCAGUGGGAGCACCCUUCGGGGUGUGACUGCGUACCUUUUGUAUAAUGGGUCAGCGACUUAUAUUCUGUAGCAAGGUUAACCGAAUAGGGGAGCCGGAGGGAAACCGAGUCUUAAUUGGGCGUUAAGUUGCAGGGUAUAGACCCGAAACCCGGUGAUCUAGCCAUGGGCAGGUUGAAGGUUGGGUAACACUAACUGGAGGACCGAACCGACUAAUGUUGAAAAAUUAGCGGAUGACCUGUGGCUGGGGGUGAAAGGCCAAUCAAACCGGGAGAUAGCUGGUUCUCCCCGAAAGCUAUUUAGGUAGCGCCUCGUGAAUUCAUCUCCGGGGGUAGAGCACUGUUUCGGCUAGGGGGCCAUCCCGGCUUACCAACCCGAUGCAAACUGCGAAUACCGGAGAAUGUUAUCACGGGAGACACACGGCGGGUGCUAACGUCCGUCGUGAAGAGGGAAACAACCCAGACCGCCAGCUAAGGUCCCAAAGUCAUGGUUAAGUGGGAAACGAUGUGGGAAGGCCCAGACAGCCAGGAUGUUGGCUUAGAAGCAGCCAUCAUUUAAAGAAAGCGUAAUAGCUCACUGGUCGAGUCGGCCUGCGCGGAAGAUGUAACGGGGCUAAACCAUGCACCGAAGCUGCGGCAGCGACACUGUGUGUUGUUGGGUAGGGGAGCGUUCUGUAAGCCUGUGAAGGUGUGUCGUGAGGCAUGCUGGAGGUAUCAGAAGUGCGAAUGCUGACAUAAGUAACGAUAAAGCGGGUGAAAAGCCCGCUCGCCGGAAGACCAAGGGUUCCUGUCCAACGUUAAUCGGGGCAGGGUGAGUCGACCCCUAAGGCGAGGCCGAAAGGCGUAGUCGAUGGGAAACGGGUUAAUAUUCCCGUACUUGGUGUUACUGCGAAGGGGGGACGGAGAAGGCUAUGUUGGCCGGGCGACGGUUGUCCCGGUUUAAGCGUGUAGGUGUGUGUUCCAGGUAAAUCCGGUUCACUUUAACACUGAGGCGUGACGACGAGGCACUACGGUGCUGAAGCAACAAAUGCCCUGCUUCCAGGAAAAGCCUCUAAGCAUCAGGUAACAUCAAAUCGUACCCCAAACCGACACAGGUGGUCAGGUAGAGAAUACCAAGGCGCUUGAGAGAACUCGGGUGAAGGAACUAGGCAAAAUGGUGCCGUAACUUCGGGAGAAGGCACGCUGACACGUAGGUGAAGUGAUUUACUCAUGGAGCUGAAGUCAGUCGAAGAUACCAGCUGGCUGCAACUGUUUAUUAAAAACACAGCACUGUGCAAACACGAAAGUGGACGUAUACGGUGUGACGCCUGCCCGGUGCCGGAAGGUUAAUUGAUGGGGUCAGCGCAAGCGAAGCUCCUGAUCGAAGCCCCGGUAAACGGCGGCCGUAACUAUAACGGUCCUAAGGUAGCGAAAUUCCUUGUCGGGUAAGUUCCGACCUGCACGAAUGGCGUAAUGAUGGCCAGGCUGUCUCCACCCGAGACUCAGUGAAAUUGAACUCGCUGUGAAGAUGCAGUGUACCCGCGGCAAGACGGAAAGACCCCGUGAACCUUUACUAUAGCUUGACACUGAACAUUGAGCCUUGAUGUGUAGGAUAGGUGGGAGGCUU